UUGGAGGGCAAGUCUGGUGCCAGCAGCCGCGGUAAUUCCAGCUCCAAUAGCGUAUAUUAAAGUUGUUGCAGUUAAAAAGCUCGUAGUUGAAUUUCGGGGUUCAUACGUUGGUCGGGCUUUUUGGUCUGUACUAGCGUAAUGGAUUCCUACCUUCUGAAUAACCGGCAUGCCAUUAAUUUGGUGCGCCGGGGAAGCAGGACUGUUACCUUGAAAAAAUUAGAGUGCUUAAAGCAGGCUAUCGCCUGAAUACAUUAGCAUGGAAUAAUGAAAUAGGACGGCAUGGUUCUAUUUUGUUGGUUUCUAGGAUCACCGUAAUGAUUAAUAGGGAUAGUUGGGGGCAUUAGUAUUCAAUUGUCAGAGGUGAAAUUCUUGGAUUUAUUGAAGACUAACUUCUGCGAAAGCAUUUGCCAAGGAUGUUUUCAUUAAUCAAGAACGAAAGUUAGGGGAUCGAAGACGAUCAGAUACCGUCGUAGUCUUAACCAUAAACUAUGCCGACUAGGGGUCGGACGAUGUUAAUUUUUUAAUGACUCGUUCGGCGCCUUACGGGAAAC
RNAcentral lists this ribosomal RNA (551 nucleotides) under uncultured Acaulospora. Its description in RNAcentral is "SSU rRNA". It matches the Rfam family "Eukaryotic small subunit ribosomal RNA", at positions 548 to 1098 of the family's 1831-position model. Lineage: Eukaryota; Fungi; Glomeromycota; Glomeromycetes; Diversisporales; Acaulosporaceae. The record is from RNAcentral.